AGGGUUACAGUGUAUAAUUAAAAAUCUGUUGUCCUAAAAAGAAAACUACAUUUCCUGGGAGCCCACUGACUUCCUGUUGUUACGUACUUCCUGUAGACAGAGAAUAAAUUCAGUGGGUGUGCCUGCUCUGUCCUCUUCGGCUUCCUGUUGGCGGGCAUGGUGGUGGGGAACAGGAACAAGAAAGCUUGUGACAUCUGACCACAUACAUGAAGAAGUCUCUCCUGGCACCAUAAAAAAGGAGACAUAACUUCAGGAGAGAAGAAAUUCAUGUUGGAGGAAGAAAGAAAAAUUUGGAGAAUCACAAGGACAUUGACAAACUAUGGUGCACGCAGAAGAGGUGUACCAAGAUGAUGAAAGACUGGAAAUCACACCCUUGGGACAGAUUAAAGGAACCAGGGAUGUUUAACCUGGAGAAAUGAAAACAUAUGGGGCAUGAGGAGUUGUGGAGUGAAGAGAAAGGAGACCUAAGAAGAAGAAAAGGACAGUUUUCUGCUCCUCUGAUCACUAGGGAGAGAGAGGCUGAACCGAGAAAAGGCACUCCAAAUCCAGACUGGGAAGCCAACGCUCCUCCUCCAACACCAGGAAGGAAGUCAGGAAAGGAAGGCAGGAAGGAAGUGCUAGUCACAAGACCCAACUGCCACUCCCAGUUGCCCCUUCCCCCACCAACUGUAAGUCUUGACAAUUUCUUCUCCUUUGAUAUUCCCACUGUUGUUUGUUCAAACACAGUGGCAGAAAGUUCAGAACUUAUUACUAGUUUCCUUUCCACAAGAGAAAGCCUCUAAUCUUCAAGGACCUCUAUAGUUGCUCUGGUCUUAAGCUAAUGAACUAUUAUCACAUUAGUGAGAUUCCAUUCCAAGCAUUGUCUUCGUUAUGAAAGUGUCUAAUUCGCAAGGUUGUUUAGAAAUAUUCCUGAGAUAAUGAUGCAGGUCCUCUUAAUACCCUUUGUGGCUCCAUGAUUGUAUUGUUUUAGCCAGUGAUGAAAUGCAACUCUAUAUACAUUGUGUAAUUAGAAAACCUUGAACCCUCGGACUCCAUCUUCCAGAAUUCUAUUUCUCGUCCCAAAAUUCCUUUUCUCUUCAUGGUCACCAUAAAUGUAAGCUUAAAAUUAAUAUAUGAUAACUCCAAGUAUCAUAUUUAAUGAAGUUUAUUAAUAAUAACUUGAAGUAAAAGGAAUAAAAAGACAAAAUUAAAAGCCUGAUUAGAACCA
Molecule: long non-coding RNA, 1207 nt
Filed under: Monodelphis domestica (gray short-tailed opossum)
Lineage: Eukaryota; Metazoa; Chordata; Mammalia; Didelphimorphia; Didelphidae
Description: lncRNA (ENSMODG00000032685.2)
Source: RNAcentral